Molecule: long non-coding RNA, 661 nt
Organism: Salvia miltiorrhiza (redroot sage)
Lineage: Eukaryota; Viridiplantae; Streptophyta; Magnoliopsida; Lamiales; Lamiaceae
Exons: 2
Source: RefSeq, a predicted model, not a curated record
AUAAUAAUAUCAUAUUAUUAUUAUGUGCAUAUUUUAAGUAAAUUACUUAUUAUAUGCUAAGCAUGACAUGAAAUUGCAUUUUUACUUGCAAUAAAAGUAUUUAAUUGGUUUUAAUUAUAAUUCCAAUUUUUAAGAAAAGCGAGUAAGGAUAUUGUUGGUGUCCUUAACUCAAGAAUUUAGUUUUCAAUUAUUUAUUCAUUAAAUUUUGAAAACCCGGCUAAGUGAAUCAUAGAAUAUUAAGCACUACACCAUGACUUAAGAUUAGAUUCAAGGAGACCUAUUAAGAAUAGAAUUUCUUGUAGGCUUUGUGGACCAAGGGGAUUAGCACUGCUUCCCAAGACAGGUUAUGUGAUUAUGAUCUUCAGGCUUUGCCUAUCCAGGUUGAGCAGUUGAUGGAAUGGAAUGAUGUUGAGCGGGUGUUCCUAUGACAUUUCAAGAAAUGUAACCUUGAGUAUACAUCUUCAUAUGUAUAUCUCACACGUUUUCCGCUGCAAAACACUUUGAUUAGGAUAACUUUAUGUUAUGAAAUUGUGACACGUGUUAUUGGGUAACCCACCUUAAUCAGUUCUCAUUUAUGUGUAUGUUUUAUAAGUAUCCAAAUAAUCAUAUAUGAUCCUAGCAUUUUAUCUAUGAGUGACAUUUCCAUAUACUUUAAUGUUAA